GAACGUGCUUGCACGGACUUGACGUUGGUUUACCAGCGAGUGGCGGACGGGUGAGUAACACGUAGGUAACCUGCCCCAAAGCGGGGGAUAACAUUUGGAAACAGAUGCUAAUACCGCAUAACAAUUUGAAUCGCAUGAUUCAAAUUUAAAAGAUGGCUUCGGCUAUCACUUUGGGAUGGACCUGCGGCGCAUUAGCUUGUUGGUAGGGUAACGGCCUACCAAGGCUGUGAUGCGUAGCCGAGUUGAGAGACUGAUCGGCCACAAUGGAACUGAGACACGGUCCAUACUCCUACGGGAGGCAGCAGUAGGGAAUCUUCCACAAUGGGCGCAAGCCUGAUGGAGCAACACCGCGUGAAGUGAAGAAGGGUUUCGGCUCGUAAAGCUCUGUUGUUAGAGAAGAACGUGCGUGAAGAAGCAACUGUUCACGCAGUGACGGUAUCUAACCAGAAAGUCACGGCUAACUACGUGCCAGCAGCCGCGGUA
RNAcentral lists this ribosomal RNA (483 nucleotides) under Lactobacillus sp. RNAcentral's name for it is "bacterial SSU rRNA". It matches the Rfam family "Bacterial small subunit ribosomal RNA", at positions 51 to 522 of the family's 1533-position model. The record is from RNAcentral. Lineage: Bacteria; Bacillati; Bacillota; Bacilli; Lactobacillales; Lactobacillaceae.